UUUUUUGUACUAUACCAGACUAUGUUGUUCCAGCUGUCUGGGUAAAGACUGAUACAUUACUGCCUCUUGGAGAACAGCAAACCAUUCUCCAGACAGAGACAAAGACAUGGACAUCAAAACAGAAAAUUAAGUACUUGAUCUUGGAUUGUUUGGAGUGAACGCUGGAAAAUAAUGAAGCAGGAAAUUGACUAAAACAAUUUUUGUACUUGGCUGUAAGAAGUCCUUUGUGUGCACAGACAUGACUGGAGAUUAAAGUUACUAAAUGUUGCUUUUUUUCUAGCUGGUGACAUAACAUGGUAUUAUUUUCAAAUGUAUUUAUCUAAUACACAUUUGCACAUCUGUAAACAUUCAUUUUAUAUAGGAUGUUUUUUAUAUUUAACCAGUUGUUGUAUAUUGCUUUCUGUUAUUACAUCUGUUUUUUUGCCUGUUUAUUGUUUAAAACAAUUAAGUUAAUGUUUCUCUGUUAGCUUUUAUGUUACUUUGGCUAUUUCUUUGCUUUUAUUUGAUCCUUCUACUGUUAUUUGUUUAUUUGGCAGAACAUUUGACAUUUAAUUUAUUUUGCUGUUAUCUGAAAUUAUCCUUGUCACCAUCAAUAAAACUCUAUAUUUGCUUUAUAUCUGUGUUUUUCAAUUACACAUUUUACGGGAUAUAAAUAUAUUUUGGUCACUUUAUGGCUAUUUUCUGGGGCAUCUGGAUAAGUUGUGGGUGGGUUCUGGGGUAAAUAUGGUAAUUUUGGUUAUUUUCUGGGUUACAUUUGGGGUUUCUGGAAAAGUUGUGGGUA
Misgurnus anguillicaudatus (oriental weatherfish) is the source of this 781-nucleotide non-coding RNA. The record is from RefSeq and is a predicted model, not a curated record. NCBI's taxonomy places the organism in Eukaryota, Metazoa, Chordata, Actinopteri, Cypriniformes, Cobitidae.